This 266-nucleotide ribosomal RNA is filed under the name uncultured prokaryote. Its description in RNAcentral is "partial 16S ribosomal RNA". It matches the Rfam family "Bacterial small subunit ribosomal RNA", at positions 524 to 788 of the family's 1533-position model. The record is from RNAcentral.
UACGGAGGAUGCGAGCGUUAUCCGGAUUUAUUGGGUUUAAAGGGUGCGCAGGCGGGAGAUUAAGUCGGCGGUGAAAUUUUGCAGCUCAACUGUAAAAGUGCCUUCGAAACUGGUUUCCUUGAGUGUGGAUGAAGUAGGCGGAAUUUGUGGUGUAGCGGUGAAAUGCAUAGAUAUCACGAGGAACUCCGAUUGCGCAGGCAGCUUACUAAACCAUAACUGACGCUCAGGCACGAAGGCGUGGGGAUCAAACAGGAUUAGAUACCCCU